RNAcentral lists this ribosomal RNA (448 nucleotides) under uncultured bacterium. RNAcentral describes it as "bacterial SSU rRNA". It matches the Rfam family "Bacterial small subunit ribosomal RNA", at positions 355 to 796 of the family's 1533-position model. The record is from RNAcentral.
UGGGGAAUCUUGCGCAAUGGACGAAAGUCUGACGCAGCGACGCCGCGUGGGUGAUGAAGGCCUUCGGGUUGUAAAGCCCUGUGGGGUGAGACGAAUAAGUGCGGGCCAAUACCCCGCAUGAUGACGGUAUCACCUUAGCAAGCACCGGCUAACUCUGUGCCAGCAGCCGCGGUAAGACAGAGGGUGCAAACGUUGUUCGGAAUUACUGGGCGUAAAGCGUGUGUAGGCGGUCAUGUAAGUCAGGUGUGAAAGCCCCAGGCUUAACCUGGGAAGUGCACUUGAUACUGCGUGACUUGAGUAUCGGAGAGGUUGGUGGAAUUCUCGGUGUAGAGGUGAAAUUCGUAGAUAUCGAGAGGAACACCGGUGGCGAAGGCGGCCAACUGGACGAAUACUGACGCUGAGACACGAAAGCGUGGGGAGCAAACAGGAUUAGAUACCCCCGUAGUCC